RNAcentral lists this ribosomal RNA (814 nucleotides) under Bacillus pumilus. RNAcentral describes it as "bacterial SSU rRNA". It matches the Rfam family "Bacterial small subunit ribosomal RNA", at positions 56 to 851 of the family's 1533-position model. The record is from RNAcentral. Lineage: Bacteria; Bacillati; Bacillota; Bacilli; Caryophanales; Bacillaceae.
UGCAAGUCGAGCGGACAGAAGGGAGCUUGCUCCCGGAUGUUAGCGGCGGACGGGUGAGUAACACGUGGGUAACCUGCCUGUAAGACUGGGAUAACUCCGGGAAACCGGAGCUAAUACCGGAUAGUUCCUUGAACCGCAUGGUUCAAGGAUGAAAGACGGUUUCGGCUGUCACUUACAGAUGGACCCGCGGCGCAUUAGCUAGUUGGUGAGGUAACGGCUCACCAAGGCGACGAUGCGUAGCCGACCUGAGAGGGUGAUCGGCCACACUGGGACUGAGACACGGCCCAGACUCCUACGGGAGGCAGCAGUAGGGAAUCUUCCGCAAUGGACGAAAGUCUGACGGAGCAACGCCGCGUGAGUGAUGAAGGUUUUCGGAUCGUAAAGCUCUGUUGUUAGGGAAGAACAAGUGCAAGAGUAACUGCUUGCACCUUGACGGUACCUAACCAGAAAGCCACGGCUAACUACGUGCCAGCAGCCGCGGUAAUACGUAGGUGGCAAGCGUUGUCCGGAAUUAUUGGGCGUAAAGGGCUCGCAGGCGGUUUCUUAAGUCUGAUGUGAAAGCCCCCGGCUCAACCGGGGAGGGUCAUUGGAAACUGGGAAACUUGAGUGCAGAAGAGGAGAGUGGAAUUCCACGUGUAGCGGUGAAAUGCGUAGAGAUGUGGAGGAACACCAGUGGCGAAGGCGACUCUCUGGUCUGUAACUGACGCUGAGGAGCGAAAGCGUGGGGAGCGAACAGGAUUAGAUACCCUGGUAGUCCACGCCGUAAACGAUGAGUGCUAAGUGUUAGGGGGUUUUCCGCCCCUUAGUGCUGCAG